CAUUAAACAAUGCUCUG
RNAcentral lists this microRNA (17 nucleotides) under Corchorus capsularis. Its description in RNAcentral is "sRNA CCACVL1_29844". The record is from RNAcentral. Lineage: Eukaryota; Viridiplantae; Streptophyta; Magnoliopsida; Malvales; Malvaceae.